Molecule: long non-coding RNA, 281 nt
Filed under: Sorghum bicolor (sorghum)
Lineage: Eukaryota; Viridiplantae; Streptophyta; Magnoliopsida; Poales; Poaceae
Description: long non-coding RNA (SBIC_LNC012414)
Source: RNAcentral
GAGGCUUAAGAAGAGUGAGACCAAACAUGUAGGCCACAAGAGUGAACGACUAUGUCAACAUCCAGCUUGGGGGAGGCACCCCCAUGUGUAUCUAGAUAAGCAUCACUUUUCUUUCUUGGUUUUAUUUACUAGUAUUCAGAAAUAAAUAAAAAAUGCAUAACCAUAAAACUAAACAAAGUUUUUCUUUUGAGUAAUAUACAAUAGUUUUGUGUAAUCCUAAGUUUUAAAUAAAAUAAAAAGAAAGUUUGAUCCAGUUCUAGGUAAUUGACAAACAUGAUAUG